UGGCUGUAGUUAUGUGAAUAUAAAUGAGAAGUUUACUGGCUGGUUUGACAUAUCUGCUUACUGAACUCAUAACAUCA
This is a small nucleolar RNA of Lycium barbarum (goji berry), 77 nucleotides long. RefSeq annotates it as small nucleolar RNA snoR109. Lineage: Eukaryota; Viridiplantae; Streptophyta; Magnoliopsida; Solanales; Solanaceae. The record is from RefSeq and is a predicted model, not a curated record. The transcript has a single exon.